GACGAACUUUGGCGGCGUGCUUAACACAUGCAAGUCGAACGGAAAGGCCCUGCUUUUGUGGGGUGCUCGAGUGGCGAACGGGUGAGUAACACGUGAGUAACCUGCCCUUGACUUUGGGAUAACUUCAGGAAACUGGGGCUAAUACCGGAUAGGAGCUCCUGCUGCAUGGUGGGGGUUGGAAAGUUUCGGCGGUUGGGGAUGGACUCGCGGCUUAUCAGCUUGUUGGUGGGGUAGUGGCUUACCAAGGCUUUGACGGGUAGCCGGCCUGAGAGGGUGACCGGCCACAUUGGGACUGAGAUACGGCCCAGACUCCUACGGGAGGCAGCAGUGGGGAAUAUUGCACAAUGGGCGGAAGCCUGAUGCAGCAACGCCGCGUGCGGGAUGACGGCCUUCGGGUUGUAAACCGCUUUCGCCUGUGACGAAGCGUGAGUGACGGUAAUGGGUAAAGAAGCACCGGCUAACUACGUGCCAGCAGCCGCGGUGAUACGUAGGGUGCGAGCGUUGUCCGGAUUUAUUGGGCGUAAAGGGCUCGUAGGUGGUUGAUCGCGUCGGAAGUGUAAUCUUGGGGCUUAACCCUGAGCGUGCUUUCGAUACGGGUUGACUUGAGGAAGGUAGGGGAGAAUGGAAUUCCUGGUGGAGCGGUGGAAUGCGCAGAUAUCAGGAGGAACACCAGUGGCGAAGGCGGUUCUCUGGGCCUUUCCUGACGCUGAGGAGCGAAAGCGUGGGGAGCGAACAGGCUUAGAUACCCUGGUAGUCCACGCUGUAAACGGUGGGUACUAGGUGUGGGGUCCAUUCCACGGGUUCCGUGCCGUAGCUAACGCUUUAAGUACCCCGCCUGGGGAGUACGGCCGCAAGGCUAAAACUCAAAGGAAUUGACGGGGCCCCGCACAAGCGGCGGAGCAUGCGGAUUAAUUCGAUGCAACGCGUAGAACCUUACCUGGGUUUGACAUGGAUCGGGAGCGCUCAGAGAUGGGUGUGCCUCUUUUGGGGUCGGUUCACAGGUGGUGCAUGGCUGUCGUCAGCUCGUGUCGUGAGAUGUUGGGUUAAGUCCCGCAACGAGCGCAACCCUUGUUCACUGUUGCCAGCACGUUAUGGUGGGGACUCAGUGGAGACCGCCGGGGUCAACUCGGAGGAAGGUGGGGAUGACGUCAAGUCAUCAUGCCCCUUAUGUCCAGGGCUUCACGCAUGCUACAAUGGCUGGUACAGAGAGUGGCGAGCCUGUGAGGGUGAGCGAAUCUCGGAAAGCCGGUCUCAGUUCGGAUUGGGGUCUGCAACUCGACCUCAUGAAGUCGGAGUCGCUAGUAAUCGCAAAUCAGCAACGCUGCGGUGAAUACGUUCCCGGGGC
Molecule: ribosomal RNA, 1345 nt
Filed under: uncultured bacterium
Lineage: Bacteria
Description: bacterial SSU rRNA
Rfam family: Bacterial small subunit ribosomal RNA
Source: RNAcentral